This 253-nucleotide ribosomal RNA is filed under the name uncultured Eubacteriales bacterium. Its description in RNAcentral is "uncultured Clostridiales bacterium partial 16S ribosomal RNA". It matches the Rfam family "Bacterial small subunit ribosomal RNA", at positions 524 to 776 of the family's 1533-position model. The record is from RNAcentral. Lineage: Bacteria; Bacillati; Bacillota; Clostridia; Eubacteriales.
UACGUAGGUGGCAAGCGUUGUCCGGAUUUACUGGGUGUAAAGGGCGUGUAGCCGGGUUGACAAGUCAGAUGUGAAAUCCUGCGGCUUAACCGCAGAACUGCAUUUGAAACUGCCAUACUGGAGUGCCGGAGAGGUAAGUGGAAUUCCUAGUGUAGCGGUGAAAUGCGUAGAUAUUAGGAGGAACACCAGUGGCGAAGGCGGCUUACUGGACGGUAACUGACGCUGAGGCUCGAAAGCGUGGGGAGCAAACAGG